GGAAGGUGGACGUCCUCAGAAAACCAUGACGACUCAAUGGCGGGAAGCUAUCCUUGGGAUCACAAUGGAUGGUGGACAGAACCGUCGUUGUUUAAUGUGAACACUGGUAUUAAAACUUGAUCAAUCUAUGCUAGGUCUCAUGCUUGUGAAAAGAUUUGCAAAAGCUUGCUUUACGCAAAAGAACCUGGAGCCCUUCCUUGAAAUACCCUCUAUCAUAUGCAUUGUUGUUGUGGUGGCUUGCUGAGUACGGUUGGUACUCACCCUUGCUAUUUAUAUAUCUUUUAGGAGAGUGUUGAAGAGAAGCCCUUGUCGAUACGCUUGCGUAUCCAACAAGAUGAUCGGAGUGCGGUCUUGUUCUAGGUCUCGUUCCCCAGUCGACUGCCUGUGGCAUGUUAACCGGGCCCUUAUAUUAUUUUGUCUUCCGCUGUUGUUCUCUGAUAGUUGUUGGCCUACCUGGCCCUAACAUAAACACAGAAGAUUUCCGAUUUCCAAAAUCGGGGGUCUACACGCCAACGAAGCCAUCCCCUCGGCUACUGCUGCCGCCGUGUCCCUAUGGCCAGAUCGGGGAGAGGGAGGGGAGGGGAGGGAGGGCGUCACCGGUCUCCAACCAUCGCGCCACUGGAUCCGUCCCCCGUCACCAUCACCGCCGCCGCCUUGAGGCUGGAGGAAGCCACUGUCGCCUAGAGGGGAGGAGAAGGCAAUCGCACCUAGAUCUGAGAGAGGGAGGGGAGGGAGGGCAGGGUCACCGCGGCCCUCCGACGGCUAGAUCCACCGCUCGCGCCCCUCCCGCUGCCGGAUCCGCCGCCUGCGGCCCUGCGACGGUCAGAUCCACCGUGCCUGCACCCGCACCCGUGCCCCUCCCGGCCGAGGAUCACGGCACCCCUCCUGGCCCCUCCUGGUAGCCGUCGUCACUAUCGCUAGUCCGCCGUGUUUUCCAACACUGAGGAAAGGCUGGAGAAGAAGAGGAGGAGAUGGAAUGGGAGAGGAGGGGAUAAGGAAUGGGAAGGGAUAAAAUUAGUGGAGAUUUUAAUAUAGAGAAUAUUUUUUCGUAGUCGGUGCUCGUUAGCUACCACCAGCAAAAAAAUAAUUUUUCGCUGGCGGUUGUUUAAGUGGGCCGCUAGCAAAAAUAGCUAUAUUUUCUCUGGAGGUCUACGUAACCCAACCGCCAGUGAAAAUUGAUUUUCGCUGGCGGUUUUUAGCCCCUUACCCCUCGUUACAAUUUCACAGGCGGGAUACACAAAAAACCGCCAGCGAAGAAAAUAUGGUACCGCCAUGAAAAAUCUAUUUUGCAGUAGUCUGCUGAUCUUGAAGACUGUCACGCCUCUGGAGAAGAAGAAACUGGUUGCUAGAAUCAUACCAAGAACAAAAAUAUUUUCACUGAAACAUUUGAGGUAAAUAAAAAAUUAAUGGCCUUUGAUUUUUUACUGCUCUUUCUUUAGCAGGGUGCGUGAGGUGUGUUUUGGUUGUGUGCACUUUGUUGUGCGGAGCCCAUGAGUGUUCUCAGAAUUUUGAGAUUAGUAAAGCUUCCAUUACUAAAAAUAAGAUAAAAUAAAUAAAUAAUUAGUGUCUCUCUGCGGCCUUUAACUCUCCUAUCCCUUGCACCCCUGGUGAAUAUACCUGGGUGAGUUUUGCAAUGUCAGAUAAUACAUGAACGAUCCAGAUUGAUGUAUAUCCCUACCCCUGAAUGCAUGCUGGUGUCCAGUGCAAAAGCUGCUCAUCUUUACUCCCCUGAAGCAGCAUGGGGAAAAUAUCCUUUACACCUAGGUACCAUGGUAGUAUGCAUGCGGUUUAAAUAGUUAUAUAAAAUUUCAUACAAUUUUGACGACAUUAUGAGAAUAUAAAACAGUAUGCAAAUAUGCAAGUCCAGGUAGCGUGAAACCAAAUGGCCCAGUACAGCACCUGCGGCAAGCCAUGUUCCUUGCUGCACAGGCUUCCUCCAGGGCUCCCCCAUCGACUCGGCAGAUCGAAUUCAACAGGGACUUUCUGAAGCUUGUCGAAUUCAAAUUGCAGCCACUGAAGGAUGCAACUGUUAGUGACUACCACACAUCCACCACGCAGUGCCGUUUUUGCCAGAUUUUGGCUCAAUGACUAGCUGAGGCACAACAACUUCCAUUUAAAGCAUUCAUACAUUUCCUGAUUCCUCCUAGGCCAAGCUGCUGUCUGCACUGAAGUGGCUUCUAGCUCCUUGAGAGUUGAGACGACAUUGUUCAUCUAGAUCUCUCUACCGUUAGCAUUAUAUUUCUUUGUGCUGCAUAGGUUGCUCAUGGAUAGAUGCGUAUGUAGACUAGGAGGAUAUAUUUAUAUAUGAUUUGAUGUUUGGCAUAAGGAAGAUGCGUUAGCCAUCUAUUCAACCAAGCCAUCUCAGUGAAGGAUCUAUAAUAUUUAUGGUGUGAUCUGUUUAACUGUUUUGCAAAGUCACAAAAAA
This is a non-coding RNA of Oryza sativa Japonica Group (Japanese rice), 2425 nucleotides long. The record is from RefSeq and is a predicted model, not a curated record. Lineage: Eukaryota; Viridiplantae; Streptophyta; Magnoliopsida; Poales; Poaceae.